CAGUCGCCGCGGGAAUACGGAGGAUCCAAGCGUUAUCCGGAAUCAUUGGGUUUAAAGGGUCCGUAGGCGGUCUUGUAAGUCAGUGGUGAAAGCCCAUCGCUCAACGGUGGAACGGCCAUUGAUACUGCAGGACUUGAAUUAUUGGGAAGUAACUAGAAUAUGUAGUGUAGCAGUGAAAUGCUUAGAGAUUACAUGGAAUACCAAUUGCGAAGGCAGGUUACUACCAAUUGAUUGACGCUGAUGGACGAAAGCGUGGGUAGCGAACAGGAUUAGAUACCCCGGUAGUCCCUGUCUCUUAUAC
This 301-nucleotide ribosomal RNA is filed under the name uncultured bacterium. RNAcentral describes it as "partial 16S ribosomal RNA". It matches the Rfam family "Bacterial small subunit ribosomal RNA", at positions 509 to 807 of the family's 1533-position model. The record is from RNAcentral.